This 29-nucleotide small RNA is filed under the name Bombyx mori (domestic silkworm). RNAcentral describes it as "ovarian small RNA-4695". Lineage: Eukaryota; Metazoa; Arthropoda; Insecta; Lepidoptera; Bombycidae. The record is from RNAcentral.
CAGACGCAAGCUGCUCAGCGUCACCAGAA